Molecule: non-coding RNA, 390 nt
Organism: Dromiciops gliroides (monito del monte)
Lineage: Eukaryota; Metazoa; Chordata; Mammalia; Microbiotheria; Microbiotheriidae
Source: the annotation of a RefSeq genome assembly
AUGGCCUGGCCUCUUGUCUGCCUCUUCCUGCUCAUUGUCUGCUCAGGUUCCUUCUCCAAGCUUGUGGUGUCUCAACCUCCCUCUGCCUCUGCAUCCCUGGGAGCCAAACUCUCCUGCACCCUGAGCAGUGGGCAAAGUGGCAACAAUAUUUAUUGGCACCAGCAGAGCACAGGGAAGGCCCCUCGGUUUAUCAUGUAUGUCACUAGCUAUGGAAGUGCAGGCAGGGGUGAAGGGAUCCCUGAUCGCUUCUCUGGCUCAGGCUCUGGGGCCACCAGAUACUUGUCCAUCAGCAACAUCCAGCCUGAGGAUGAGGCUGAUUACUACUGUCAGUCCUAUUAUUACCCUGGUAGUGGUUAUGCUCAGACAGUGACACAUUCAGUGGGGAAGUGA